CUUUAAUUGUCAAAUUGCAGGAAAAGGGGAUGAGAGGCCUGGCCCCCAUGUCAAUCAGUGCAUAUCCCUCAUUUUAGAGAGGAGUUUUAUUUUUCUGUUCCAAGAAGGAAAUUACAGCUUUCAUUGCUCCCUGGUUCCCCUAAAAAGUUAUUGCCCUUGGCCUUUUGGGUCCUAUAAGAUAGAUAAAGAUAGGAGGUUUGUUGCAAACAACUGAACAGUUACUGAACAGUAACCGUAGAGUCAUGGAAUCUCAGAGUUGGAAAGGACCUUGGAGGUCAUCUUAGCUCUUCAUUCUGGGGCCAAACAGAACAAAAUUCUUGAACAUAAUAAGAUUUGAGAAUGGUGCUCACAUUUCCCCGGAGUCUUCACUUCUCAAGGUUGAAUAUCUUCAAUUCCUUUCUUCCAUCUUCAUUCAGGUGUGUCUUCAACCUGAGCCCCAGUCUUGGCCAACUGGAUUUACUCAUUGACCAGAGAAGAGAUGGUGUCCCUAUGGGAAUUCUUGGAAAAGAAAGAGGAAGAAUGUUUUUGGUCUUUCAUAUCCCCUGCCAGAAAGCAUUUGUUCAAAAAAAUUUUUCUUAGAAUCAUGAAUUCAGAGUUUCAAGACCUCCCGGGAAGGGCAAAAAUAUUUGUCUUGAUGAUGUCAUCAAGUAUUCCUGAACAUGAGGACAGUGAUGAAUUAGGAUGCAUGCUGAAUGGGUCCAAGCUAUCCACCAACAUGAUACCAACAUCAGUUUCUCACCAAAUUGAAAAAAAAGUCAAUUUGUGAAUGGUGAUGGAGUUCCUGAGAUACGUAAAGAUCAGAAUGGAAUAUGCACUUAUCUACAUAAGGUAGUGAGCAUAUUGAAGGGGUGCACUUCACUUCUGGAAAAGACCAACAAUGCUUCUUUGGUUUUGUGCAAAACUAAUGCUAGAGGACCCAAGGCUUCCUAACAUGAAUGAUCUCUCUUACUGAUCAAAGUAUUCCCCUGCACGUAAGAGGUGAAAAGUGCAUUUGAUGACCUGAAGAAUUGGUCCAAAUCAACUUGAGCAGUACUCAGAAGCCUCAUGCUCAUAGGACAUCAAUAUUUGACUCAAGACUAGAGUCAGAAGACACUAAGCAAUAUCACACAAAAAUAAAAUCAAUUAUAACUUAACA
Molecule: long non-coding RNA, 1135 nt
Filed under: Phascolarctos cinereus (koala)
Lineage: Eukaryota; Metazoa; Chordata; Mammalia; Diprotodontia; Phascolarctidae
Description: lncRNA (ENSPCIG00000003930.2)
Source: RNAcentral